Molecule: ribosomal RNA, 253 nt
Filed under: uncultured bacterium
Lineage: Bacteria
Description: partial 16S ribosomal RNA
Rfam family: Bacterial small subunit ribosomal RNA
Source: RNAcentral
GACGAAGGUGGCAAGCGUUAUUCGGAUUUACUGGGCAUAAAGCGCGCGUAGGCGGCUUGGCAAGUCGGGGGUGAAAGCCCGCAGCUCAACUGCGGAACUGCCUUCGAUACUGCCGGGCUUGAGGGCGGGAGGGGUGAUUGGAACUCCAGGUGUAGCGGUGAAAUGCGUAGAUAUCUGGAGGAACACCGGAGGCGAAGGCGAAUCACUGGACCGCUUCUGACGCUGAGGCGCGAAAGCUAGGGGAGCGAACAGG